AUCGAGGUUUAGCGUAGUCUGGUAGCGCACUUCGUUCGGCACAAAGAGGCCGGAGGUUCAAAUCCUCUCUCCUCGAUACCA
RNAcentral lists this transfer RNA (81 nucleotides) under Deltaproteobacteria bacterium. RNAcentral's name for it is "tRNA-Pro". It matches the Rfam family "tRNA". Rfam says of the family: Transfer RNA (tRNA) molecules are approximately 80 nucleotides in length. Lineage: Bacteria; Pseudomonadati; Myxococcota; Myxococcia. The record is from RNAcentral.